UAGAGUGUCUGUGCAAUGAUGGCCAUAAGACAUGACUGUCUUCCAUAUACAUGCCCUCCUUUUUUGGGAAAAUUUGACAAGAUGAUUUCAAAAUUGAGACUUCCUAGGAAUGAGCCUUCCUACCACUGUGAAACCACACUCUCUAAAAGGUUGGUCAUCGAUGCAUCCUUUGGAUUGAUUUAUGACCAAAAGGAGGAAUUGUGGAUGAAAAAGGGAUUCUGUAGUAAGUAUGAUCAGUUGCUAGGGUAACCUGAUCAUAAAUUCUUAGCUGGGAAGAUCAUGGUGGGUAGUCACACCCCAAGCCUAUAAAAUUUUUAUCUUCGCUUUAAGCAAGUCCUGUCCAUUGUUCUUGUGAAUGAAAUGUGAAUGAAAUCGAGACUCUAAUAAAUCUGACAGGUCUAGUGACUGAAAAUAACCUCACGGGGUGAUCUGAGCAUACAUUACUCUCUGGGCAUGUCAUGGUGGGUAGCCACGUCUGAAACAUAUAACUUCUUCAGUAUAUCUAUUCCUUAAGCAAACUCUGUCCACUGUUUCUGUGCUUCUAGGUUAACACACCUUAAAUGCCAGAGUAAUCCUUUUUUUUAGACCCCUUGCAGGCAUGACCACCCUCAAGAAAGCACAUAACCUGAACUAUCCUGUAAUAAUAAAAGCCUAAUAUGCUAAGUGUCUGACCAUUCGUUCAACUGUUUGACCAGCUGCUAUGAUGCACACUGACCACCAAGGGGCAGACGCUCUGACCGGUAGGUUAGCUUGCUGCUGGGGUCCAGCUGAUUGGGACUGGGCAAGAUGGGCUGGACAAGCCCUGGAGCCUUCCUGCAGUCCCUCCCUGGCCCUGAUCGUGCACGGGGCCUCUAGUCCUGUAAUAAGAAACUGUAGCCUGGUUGAGCAUGGACCCGUGAACCAGGCCCUGUCGGAUGGGGCACAUGCCUGGGUUGUGGGCUUGAUCACCAGUAGGGGUGCGUGCAGCAGGCAGCCGAUUGAUGUUCCUCUCUCAUUGAAAUGUUUCUAUGUCUCUAUCCUAGGCAGUACUUAAUGCUUCAAUCUUUCUAUUCUAGGCAAUAUUUAAUGGCUGAUAACAUCAUUUCUGGUGGAAGUGUAUAUUGCUAUCCAUGAAGCAGAAUUGCCGGGGGGGAGGGGGGAGGGAAUUAAACCUAAAUCUGACCAAGGAUCUAGAUCCAAAUACAAUUUACAGGAAAUACAGAGGACAAAAGAACAAGUCAUAGGUUGACAUGAGGAUGUGAUCUGCAAAAUCCAAACUGAGAGAUUCUGCAGACACAUGACCUAGUUUCUUCUACAAAUAAGCUGCAAGGAAGAAGGAAAUAACAGAGGAGGGACCUAUAAAGGACUUGAGAGAUAGCAAUCAAUAUAGAAGUUAUUUGCAUCCCUACUCAAACUGUAAAAAUAAACAUUAAAAAUAUAAGUUAAUGAGGUAGGGUGACUGUUAAAAGGUGUAAGACUUACUUGUCCCUGUUGAAAAUAAGGGAAUAGACCUCCCCCCUCCCCACUUUGUUUCAAAAUUUCUCUUUCUGUCCUUUUCAAAUGUAUAUAAAUCUUUAUAAUGACUAAAGGAGCCUGUGCCAGUCUCACAACCCAAGAAUGUUUCCUCAAGGAUCUGGGAACCAUCUUUUUGAAAUGCAAACAUCUAGCACUCUUUUCCCAGUUCCUAUGGGAGAAUAAUAGGCUAACUUCUGUGGGCACAAAAUAUAAGAAUUCUUUAAAAGUUAUCCACAAUACCUUUACCACACCUAAAAGGUGGAGGGUGCCUUGCUCCAAUAUGCAAAACUGCCUCCCCUGUUAAGAUGAAAAGUCUGUUUACCCUUCAGAUAAAUGGAAUCAACUAACACAGGUGGCCACUCCAAUUUCUUUAAGUUAGAAUGCACUAUAUGUGACAAAAGGUAUUAUCAAGUUCUCUUACUGGAGGACUAGUUAUCAUUUAUCUUGAAAACAUCUAAUGUCUUGCACCUUCUUGGCUAUAUAAAUGAGUGAGGUUUUUUUUAUCUUUGUAAUCUUUUAGCAGAUUGCCUGAUUUACUGCUUAUUCAAUAUUACCUGUUUUCUUUCUCUACUGCUUGGAGGGGUUUUCUCAGUUGGGGAGGUUUUUAAAAACUUUUAUUUCCCCAACACUGGGUAUUUGAUAUUAACUUAUUUUAGGUAAGGUAAAGGUAUUGUGGGUAAGUUUUAAAGAAUUCUUGUAUUUUGGAGAUAAUGAAAUAUUUGCAGAUGAAACAAUAUGAUGUUUGUGAUUUGCUUCAAAAGGUAUGGAGGUAGAGUGAAAAACAUUCCUGUGUACUGAUGAUUGAUGCUGGGUGACAUAUGUAUUAAAUUCAUUAUGCUACCGUCUCUACUAUUGUUGUUGGAACACUUCCAUAAUAAAAAGAGAAGAUCCAUGGAAGCCAGCUGGCAUGCAGGAUCUAUAGCUUCCUGCUGCCAUGCCUUUUACACUCACAGCUCUGGAAAAGAUAUAUGAAUGGUCCUAAUGUGAAUGGAGAAAAUGGCCCCUAACAUCCACUGGAAACACUUGGGUUGGCUAUAAGGGAGAAUCUUCCUACCAUAAAGGGAAGAAGGGGAAAACAACAAUCACUGGAAUCAAAUUAACCUUCCAAGCCCCAUGUGUGAAGGGCGAGCGGGAGCCAAGACAGGCUGAGCCAGUGGAUUCCUGCCGGUUUCUCCUCCUCCGGCCCCUCCACGGACUCCUCUCCCUCCUUUCCGCUCCUCCAUCACCCUCCGCGGGACCCACCACUUCCUCGCUCCGCCCAGGGAGGCCGCGGAAACCCGCCAGCUCGGAGCCCCCCGCCGAAUCGCACACAGGGUUCCUCCAUCCCCUCCCUCUUUCCCUGUUUUUUAGGGGGGAAAGUCCCACGUGCUCUCCCGGUGCCCAAUCGCCAGAACCACCAGGUUUUCCCCAUCCUCUCCUCGAUUCUUCGAACCCCUACCCCCCACCCGCUCCGCUUUCUCUGGUUCUAGCGGGCGGAGAUCCCGUUCCCGGGUGCCAGGUCCUAGUUCUCACCUGUCCC
Molecule: long non-coding RNA, 3013 nt
Organism: Myotis daubentonii (Daubenton's bat)
Lineage: Eukaryota; Metazoa; Chordata; Mammalia; Chiroptera; Vespertilionidae
Source: RefSeq, a predicted model, not a curated record